Molecule: non-coding RNA, 126 nt
Filed under: Streptomyces fradiae
Lineage: Bacteria; Bacillati; Actinomycetota; Actinomycetes; Kitasatosporales; Streptomycetaceae
Source: RNAcentral
AACCAGGAAGCCGGUGCGAAUCCGGCGCGGUCCCGCCACUGUGACCGGGGAGCGGACCCCAUCCGAGCCACGGCCCCCGCGGGCCGGAAGGCCGGGGCGAGCGCCGAUCCGGCAGCCAGGAGACUG